Long non-coding RNA from Lotus japonicus, 526 nucleotides. RefSeq lists it as uncharacterized. The record is from RefSeq and is a predicted model, not a curated record. NCBI's taxonomy places the organism in Eukaryota, Viridiplantae, Streptophyta, Magnoliopsida, Fabales, Fabaceae. The transcript is spliced from 2 exons.
CUUUAUUUCAUGCAUUAUGCGAGACAUUAUCGCUUAAUGUCACACGCCACACGAGAUAUCACACUUUAUGUCACGCAUUUUAUGAGACAUCACCACUUUAUAUCAUGCGUUGCACGAGAUAUCAUUGCUUUAUGUCAUGCGUUGCACGUGACAUCAUCGCUUUAUGUCACACGUUUCUGUAACUAGUAGGGAGCAAAAUGCUAGUUUACGCCAUUUCCAUCUAUAUCGGCUUUUGUUGCACCUGAAGAAUGCUUAGAAUCCGGAAACCAGAGAGCACUCUUGGAAAUAUUGGCACCCUUAAAGAUGAAUUAGACCAAAAGAUUACACACCAGUAUGCAAAGCCAAAUUAAGGGAGAACUGAUGUGCGCUUUGAAGACUUCUGACCUCUUCUUAGUUGCUUUGUGAAAUUUUUUUCAUUACUUCAGCUUGCUGAACUGUAUGGACUAGAGUUUCCCUGUAUUUUUUAUUGGUGCAAUUUAUUUGUAUUAUGCAUUCUUCAUAAAUGGAUUGUGGCCCUUGCACCUAA